GAUGAACGCUGGCGGCGUGCCUAAUACAUGCAAGUCGAGCGAACAGACAAGGAGCUUGCUCCUUUGACGUUAGCGGCGGACGGGUGAGUAACACGUGGGUAACCUACCUAUAAGACUGGGAUAACUUCGGGAAACCGGAGCUAAUACYGGAUAAUAUUUCGAACCGCAUGGUUCGAUAGUGAAAGAUGGUUUUGCUAUCACUUAUAGAUGGACCCGCGCCGUAUUAGCUAGUUGGUAAGGUAACGGCUUACCAAGGCGACGAUACGUAGCCGACCUGAGAGGGUGAUCGGCCACACUGGAACUGAGACACGGUCCAGACUCCUACGGGAGGCAGCAGUAGGGAAUCUUCCGCAAUGGGCGAAAGCCUGACGGAGCAACGCCGCGUGAGUGAUGAAGGUCUUCGGAUCGUAAAACUCUGUUAUUAGGGAAGAACAUACGUGUAAGUAACUAUGCACGUCUUGACGGUACCUAAUCAGAAAGCCACGGCUAACUACGUGCCAGCAGCCGCGGUAAUACGUAGGUGGCAAGCGUUAUCCGGAAUUAUUGGGCGUAAAGCGCGCGUAGGCGGUUUUUUAAGUCUGAUGUGAAAGCCCACGGCUCAACCGUGGAGGGUCAUUGGAAACUGGAAAACUUGAGUGCAGAAGAGGAAAGUGGAAUUCCAUGUGUAGCGGUGAAAUGCGCAGAGAUAUGGAGGAACACCAGUGGCGAAGGCGACUUUCUGGUCUGUAACUGACGCUGAUGUGCGAAAGCGUGGGGAUCAAACAGGAUUAGAUACCCUGGUAGUCCACGCCGUAAACGAUGAGUGCUAAGUGUUAGGGGGUUUCCGCCCCUUAGUGCUGCAGCUAACGCAUUAAGCACUCCGCCUGGGGAGUACGACCGCAAGGUUGAAACUCAAAGGAAUUGACGGGGACCCGCACAAGCGGUGGAGCAUGUGGUUUAAUUCGAAGCAACGCGAAGAACCUUACCAAAUCUUGACAUCCUUUGACAACUCUAGAGAUAGAGCYUUCCCCUUCGGGGGACAAAGUGACAGGUGGUGCAUGGUUGUCGUCAGCUCGUGUCGUGAGAUGUUGGGUUAAGUCCCGCAACGAGCGCAACCCUUAAGCUUAGUUGCCAUCAUUAAGUUGGGCACUCUAAGUUGACUGCCGGUGACAAACCGGAGGAAGGUGGGGAUGACGUCAAAUCAUCAUGCCCCUUAUGAUUUGGGCUACACACGUGCUACAAUGGACAAUACAAAGGGCAGCGAAACCGCGAGGUCAAGCAAAUCCCAUAAAGUUGUUCUCAGUUCGGAUUGUAGUCUGCAACUCGACUACAUGAAGCUGGAAUCGCUAGUAAUCGUAGAUCAGCAUGCUACGGUGAAUACGUUCCCGGGUCUUGUACACACCGCCCGUCACACCACGAGAGUUUGUAACACCCGAAGCCGGUGGAGUAACCAUUUGGAGCUAGCCGUCGAAGGUGGGACAAAUGAUUGGGGUGAAGUCGUAACAAGGUAGCCGUAUCGGAAGGUGCGGCUGGAUCACCUCCUUUCU
Molecule: ribosomal RNA, 1526 nt
Filed under: Staphylococcus haemolyticus
Lineage: Bacteria; Bacillati; Bacillota; Bacilli; Caryophanales; Staphylococcaceae
Description: bacterial SSU rRNA
Rfam family: Bacterial small subunit ribosomal RNA
Source: RNAcentral